UAGAGUUUGAUUCUGGCUCAGGACGAACGCUGGCGGCGUGCUUAACACAUGCAAGUCGAACGGUAAGGCCCUUCGGGGUACACGAGUGGCGAACGGGUGAGUAACACGUGGGUAAUCUGCCCUGCACAUCGGGAUAAGCCUGGGAAACUGGGUCUAAUACCGAAUAGGACCACAGGACACAUGUCCUGUGGUGGAAAGCUUUUGCGGUGUGGGAUGGGCCCGCGGCCUAUCAGCUUGUUGGUGGGGUGAUGGCCUACCAAGGCGACGACGGGUAGCCGGCCUGAGAGGGUGACCGGCCACAUUGGGACUGAGAUACGGCCCAGACUCCUACGGGAGGCAGCAGUGGGAAUAUUGCACAAUGGGCGGAAGCCUGAUGCAGCAACGCCGCGUGCGGGAUGACGGCCUUCGGGUUGUAAACCGCUUUCGCCUGUGACGAAGCGUGAGUGACGGUAAUGGGUAAAGAAGCACCGGCUAACUACGUGCCAGCAGCCGCGGUAAU
Molecule: ribosomal RNA, 499 nt
Filed under: uncultured Actinomycetes bacterium
Lineage: Bacteria; Bacillati; Actinomycetota; Actinomycetes
Description: bacterial SSU rRNA
Rfam family: Bacterial small subunit ribosomal RNA
Source: RNAcentral